This is a long non-coding RNA of Vidua macroura (Pin-tailed whydah), 2775 nucleotides long. RefSeq lists it as uncharacterized. The record is from RefSeq and is a predicted model, not a curated record. Lineage: Eukaryota; Metazoa; Chordata; Aves; Passeriformes; Viduidae. The transcript has 3 exons.
GUCCCUGUCCCGUCCCCGAGCUCCCUCACCUUGGUCAUCCUGUCCCUGUCCUGUCCCCGAGCUCCCUCACCUUGGUCAUCCUGUCCCUGUCCCGUCCCCGAGCUCCCUCACCUUGCUCAUCCUGUCCCUGUCCCGUUCCCGAGCUCCCUCACCUUGCUCAUCCUGUCCCGUCCCCGAGCUCCCUCACCUUGCUCAUCCUGUCCCUGUCCCGUUCCCGAGCUCCCUCACCUUGCUCAUCCUGUCCCUGUCCCGUCCCCGAGCUCCCUCACCUUGGUCAUCCUGUCCCUGUCCCGUCCCCGAGCUCCCUCACCUUGCUCAUCCUGUCCCGGUCACUGUCCCUCUCCUGGUCUCUAUCCCCGUCCCAGUCCCGUCCCCGAGCUCCGUCACCUUGGUCAUCCUGUCCCUGUCCCUGUCCCUAUCCCCAUCCCUAUGCCUGUCUCAGUCCCGUUCCCAGACCCGGCCCAAUCCCGUCCCUAUCCCCGUCCCGGUCUCCUUCCCCAUCCCCAUCUCAGUCCCUAUCCCCGUGCACAUCCCUGUUCCUAUCCCUGUCCCCGUCCCUGUUCCCGUCCCUGUCCCCAUCCCAGUCCCGUCCCCCGCCCCUGCCCAAUCCCGUUCCUCUCCCCAUCCCUGUCUCCAUCCCAGUCCCCGUCUCCUUCCCCAUGCCCGUGGCCAUCCCCGUUCCUCUCCCCAUCGCAGGGGCUCCUCCCCGGGCACUGGGAUCUGGCGCUGCCCCUGCCGUGUCCCCGCAGGCUCCAGGGUCCCGUGCCGGGAAGGGCCGCUCGGCCGGCCUUGUUUGAAUUUGUUUGAAUUUGUUUGAAUUUAUCUCGCUGCCUCUUCAGAGCGUUCCCCGUGCGCGCAGAUGAUUUAUGGAGAAACGUCGGGUACCAGCGUCGAUAUAAAGUGUUGGGAAUUGCAUGGAAGGGAAGGCGGCGUUUGGGAGCUUGGGAAUGGUUAACUGUGAGAUCCAAGGGGUGGGGAGUUUUCCGCUGUGAAAAGAGGGCUGCGUGUACUGGUGGUGGCUGCAACACUUGAUGGAUGCAGAAUUUAAGGGAGAAAGACAGGAAAGUCAUAUUCCCCCUUCUACACUUUGAACAAACUUCUACAUUUUGAACACUUUGGAUUAAUACAAACCCUUUACACAUUUUCUUGAAAAAUGAAUGUUAGAAUGAUUCUUUUUUUUAAUGUGCAUCUUUUUGGGGAACACUGAUACCUAACACACAAUUAUGCCAGGGUACAACAAACCACACUAGCAGCUGGAUGAUGUUGAGUGACAUGGAUUGGCUUCUCCCUGAUCUCACCCAUCCACUCCCACAUAUUCAUCUAACCUGGUGAGAGGGUGGGGAACUAAAGCAAAAGAAAGCCAUUUGUACACAAAAGUGAUUUACUUCUGGAGGAGCAGACAGGCUUUUGGGAGAUGCCUGCAUUUUUUGGGAUAGUCUAAUUAUACCCUUCAUCUUCUGGAUUAUGGGAUUUUACAGGACAAGUGCUGGUGACCAGUUAAACAGCAGGAAUAACAGCUUUCAGUGAAUAGGUCCAUGAUGGAAGGAUAGUUUUUUCUUGAGGAAACAUGGGGGGUUUGUACUUUCUCAGUGAUGGCUGUGGUGAUACAACUCUGCAUGCUCAUUCUCUGUGUCCAGCCUUGUUUUUUUCCACUCACUACAGCAGAUUCCCACCUCAUCACAGCCCUCGAGCAUCAUCCCAUAUGGAUUGGUGGGAUUUGGGGAGUCUGCAAAAAAGCAGCAGCCUGUGGAAAUGCAGCAUUUGUGAACAGGGAUCCUGUUCACAGCUCCCUGAGAGGUGCAGAGGGACAGCCCUGCCUCAUGUACAGCACCAGAUUCCUCUUUGUCUCGUGUCUUGUAACAGACAAAUGGUUUCUGAAGCACAUGAGGACUGCAGUAGCCAUGAUCCUGCAGGACCAACCCUUGGAGCUGUGCCAUCAUCUUUACAUUCACUCCCUCUGGAACCAUGCCAUGGUCCAAAAUCUGGGCUUUUUACUGAGCCAGAAGACUCAGAGGACUGAGAUAAGAAUUACCUUCCAAUGUCAUACAUGGAUUUGGAAAAAUAGCUGACAUUUGUGGUAGUUAUGCUUUCAAUUUCCAUCUCCUUACAGUUCUUAUUACUUGCCUGUCAUAUUUUGGCACUGGGCUUUUUACUCUGGUGAAACCUAACUUGUAUUUUCAGGAUAUAUAUCCAUAUCCAUCCACAUGGUCAGAGUGGUAAGAAUCAGCAUUUUUUUCAUUUGUAGGAGUUUCUGGUUUUGUUCCUUCCACUUCUUUUGAUUAGGUCUCUUCCCUUACACUCUUUUUCUUAUCCCACUGUCCUUUUGGAGCUGUGUCUAUUUAUUUAUCUGGUUUCUGUUAACUUGCCCCUGGCUCAGUCUGUGCUUGUUUAGGGGAGUUCACUACUGCAGGGUUUCUGUUCCUCCCCCUUUAUUCGCUUUAUUGCCUCAAAUUGCAAUGGAGUUGUCUCACCUUAGGAUGCUUGUCAACAGCAAAACAGAACUCAUCCAUUCUGGGCAUGGGUUUAUUUUGAAGAAAAAUCUUUAACUUCCUUUUCUUCCACCGUUCCUUUGGAGGGAAUUGGAUAAUAAUCCUCCCUCCAGCAGGAUCCUGGCUGGAUGACACUGCUGAUGGCCUUUGGCAGCACUCUGGGACACUGCUACUCAAGAGGCAGCAGCUUAAGCAGAGUGCAGUAUUCAGGCUGAAAAAAUGGUACAGAAGUCCUACCUACAGUAUUCCAUCAGCAUAAGCCACCUUGAAAUCCAGAGGAAAAUAA